Molecule: ribosomal RNA, 468 nt
Filed under: uncultured bacterium
Lineage: Bacteria
Description: partial 16S ribosomal RNA
Rfam family: Bacterial small subunit ribosomal RNA
Source: RNAcentral
GACGAACGCUGGCGGCGUGCUUAACACAUGCGAGUCGAACGGAAAGGCCGUGCUUUUGUGGGCUGCUCGGGGGGCGAACGGGGGAGUAACACGUGAGUAACCUGCCCUUGACUUUGGGGUAACUUCAGGAAACUGGGGCUAAUACCGGAUAGGAGCUACUGCUGCAUGGUGGGGGUUGGAAAGUUUCGGCGGUUGGGGAUGGACUAGCGGCUUAUCGGCUUGAUGGUGUGGUAGUGGCUGACCAAGUCCUGGAGGGGUAGCCGGCCUGGGAGGGUGACCGGCCACAUCGCGCCUGAGAUACGGCCCAGCCCCGUCUCCGACGCAGGGGUGGGGAGUGUUGUACAGGGGGCUGGGGGCAGAUCUGGCCCCGCCGUGCGCGGUAAGACGUGCUGGCGUUAGUAAUCUGCAGCCGUUUGUCCCGAAGCGUGAGUGACGGUACCGGGUAAAUAAGCACCGGCUAACUACGUG